Molecule: ribosomal RNA, 425 nt
Filed under: uncultured bacterium
Lineage: Bacteria
Description: partial 16S ribosomal RNA
Rfam family: Bacterial small subunit ribosomal RNA
Source: RNAcentral
GUGGGGAAUCUUGCGCAAUGGGCGAAAGCCUGACGCAGCCAUGCCGCGUGGAUGAUGAAGGUCUUAGGAUUGUAAAAUCCUUUCACCGGUGAAGAUAAUGACUGUAGCCGGAGAAGAAGCCCCGGCUAACUUCGUGCCAGCAGCCGCGGUAAUACGAAGGGGGCUAGCGUUGCUCGGAUUUACUGGGCGUAAAGGGCGCGUAGGCGGACAUUUAAGUCAGGGGUGAAAUCCCGGGGCUCAACCUCGGAACUGCCUUUGAUACUGGGUGUCUUGAGUAUGGGAGAGGUGUGUGGAACUCCGGGUGUAGAGGUGAAAUUCGUAGAUAUUCGGAAGAACACCAGUGGCGAAGGCGACACACUGGCUCAUUACUGACGCUGAGGCGCGAAAGCGUGGGGAGCAAACAGGAUUAGAAACCCCGGUAGUCC